RNAcentral lists this ribosomal RNA (253 nucleotides) under uncultured bacterium. Its description in RNAcentral is "partial 16S ribosomal RNA". It matches the Rfam family "Bacterial small subunit ribosomal RNA", at positions 524 to 776 of the family's 1533-position model. The record is from RNAcentral.
UACAGAGGGGGCAAGCGUUAUUCGGAAUUAUUGGGCGUAAAGGGCAGGUAGGUUGUUUCAUAAGACUAAUGUGAAAUCCCUGGGCUUAACCUAGGAAGUGCGUUGGUGACUGUGAGACUAGAGUGCCGGAGGGGUGCAUAGAAUUGUCGGUGUAGCGGUGAAAUGCGUAGAUAUCGACAGGAAUACCAGAGGCGAAGGCGGUGCACUGGACGGCAACUGACACUCAACUGCGAAAGCGUGGGGAGCAAACAGG